CAGUCGCCACGGUAAUACGGAGGGGGCUAGCGUUGUUCGGAAUUACUGGGCGUAAAACGCACGUAGGCGGCUUGGUAAGUUAGAGGUGAAAGCCCGGAGCUCAACUCCGGAAUUGCCUUUAAGACUGCCGAGCUAGUAGGUGAGAGAGGUAAGUGGAAUUCCGAGUGUAGAGGUGAAAUUCGUAGAUAUUCGGAAGAACACCAGUGGCGAAGGCGGCUUACUGGCUCAUACUGGACGCUGAGGUGCGAAAACGUGGGGAGCAAGCAGGAUUAGAUACCCCUGUAGUCCCUGUCUCUUAUAC
This 301-nucleotide ribosomal RNA is filed under the name uncultured bacterium. Its description in RNAcentral is "partial 16S ribosomal RNA". It matches the Rfam family "Bacterial small subunit ribosomal RNA", at positions 509 to 807 of the family's 1533-position model. The record is from RNAcentral.